CUUCAGCGACCCCAACCAGAGCGGGCGGUCCUCGUCGUGCUCCUUGCCGUAGGUGGCGAGCAGCGCUUGCGCCUC
RNAcentral lists this antisense RNA (75 nucleotides) under Streptomyces sp. 846.5. RNAcentral's name for it is "ASpks TB sRNA". It matches the Rfam family "ASpks TB sRNA". Lineage: Bacteria; Bacillati; Actinomycetota; Actinomycetes; Kitasatosporales; Streptomycetaceae. The record is from Rfam by way of RNAcentral.